Molecule: ribosomal RNA, 254 nt
Filed under: uncultured bacterium
Lineage: Bacteria
Description: partial 16S ribosomal RNA
Rfam family: Bacterial small subunit ribosomal RNA
Source: RNAcentral
UACGGGGGGGGCAAGCGUUGUUCGGAAUUACUGGGCGUAAAGGGCUCGUAGGCGGCCAACUAAGUCAGACGUGAAAUCCCUCGGCUUAACCGGGGAACUGCGUCUGAUACUGGAUGGCUAGAGGUUGGGAGAGGGAUGCGGAAUUCCAGGUGUAGCGGUGAAAUGCGUAGAUAUCUGGAGGAACACCGGUGGCGAAGGCGGCAUCCUGGACCAAUUCUGACGCUGAGUGAGCGAAAGCCAGGGGAGCAAACGGG